Molecule: ribosomal RNA, 466 nt
Filed under: uncultured bacterium
Lineage: Bacteria
Description: partial 16S ribosomal RNA
Rfam family: Bacterial small subunit ribosomal RNA
Source: RNAcentral
GAUGAACGCUGGCGGCGUGCUUAACACAUGCAAGUCGAACGGAAAGGCUCCUGCUUGCAGGGGUUCUCGAGUGGCGAACGGGUGAGUAACACGUGGGUGAUCUGCCCUGCACUUCGGGAUAAGCGUGGGAAACUGGGUCUAAUACCGGAGAGGACGAUGGGUUGGAUGCCAUUGUGGAAAGUUUUUUCGGUGUGGGAUGAGCUCGGGGCCUAUCAGCUUGUUGGUGGGGUAAUGGCCUACCAAGGCGUCGACGGGUAGCCGGCGUGAGAGGGUGGACGGCCACAUUGGGACUGCGGUACGGCCCAGACUCCUACGGGAGGCAGCAGUGGGGAAUAUUGCACAAUGGGCGCAAGCCUGAUGCAGAGACGCCGCGUGGGGGAUGACGGCCUUCGGGUUGUAAACUCCUUUCGCUAGGGACGAAGCGCAAGUGACGGUACCUGGAGAAGAAGCACCGGCUAACUACGUG